GGGUUUCUCUCAUUACCUCGACUAUCAUCGGUGUCAUUUGAAAUCCCUUUGAUAUCUUUUGUCAUUUUUCAGUUAUAGGAGUUCUCACGCCUUCUAUGAUCGUUAGAUUAAUGACCGUUUUCAAGCUUGAUUCUCGUGUGCAAAAAAGACUACUCUCUAGUACCUAUCUUGCAUGGGGAUGGAUAUUUCACUGCAGUAGUUUCUUCUUGAGUUAGCACAGGAGAUCACUUCUUGGAUUUGUUUGAGCAGGUAUCUUUGACUCGUUGCCACCUCUUAUUUCAAAGCUUGUAACUUGUGGCGCCAUAUUAGCAACUAAGUUGUGUGUGUGUUUGUUGAUGAUAAGCACUCUCACGCCAUUACUGGCGCGUAAUAGUUUCCUGAGCCUUCAUCUAUGGCUUCGCUGACGAUCUUCUAAUGGUCCCCACAAAUGGUACUAAUUUUUAAACGACGUUUCUUAAACACAAUAUUAUUUUGGGGACCCAACAGAAUUUCCAACGUAUGUG
RNAcentral lists this long non-coding RNA (503 nucleotides) under Arachis ipaensis. RNAcentral describes it as "long non-coding RNA (AIPA_LNC000894)". Lineage: Eukaryota; Viridiplantae; Streptophyta; Magnoliopsida; Fabales; Fabaceae. The record is from RNAcentral.